CAGGUGGUCAGGUAGAGAAUACCAAGGCGCUUGAGAGAACUCGGGUGAAGGAACUAGGCAAAAUGGUGCCGUAACUUCGGGAGAAGGCACGCUGAUAUGUAGGUGAAGCCCCUGCGGGUGGAGCUGAAAUCAGUCGAAGAUACCAGCUGGCUGCAACUGUUUAUUAAAAACACAGCACUGUGCAAACACGAAAGUGGACGUAUACGGUGUGACGCCUGCCCGGUGCCGGAAG
This 232-nucleotide ribosomal RNA is filed under the name Enterobacter cloacae. RNAcentral's name for it is "partial 23S ribosomal RNA". It matches the Rfam family "Bacterial large subunit ribosomal RNA", at positions 1660 to 1875 of the family's 2925-position model. The record is from RNAcentral. RNAcentral also lists the same sequence under 5 other names. Lineage: Bacteria; Pseudomonadati; Pseudomonadota; Gammaproteobacteria; Enterobacterales; Enterobacteriaceae.